ACUCCUACGGGAGGCAGCAGUGGGGAAUAUUGGACAAUGGGGGCGAACCCUGAUCCAGCCAUGCCGCGUGUGUGAAGAAGGCCUUUUGGUUGUAAAGCACUUUAAGCAGUGAAGAAGACUCCAUGGUUAAUACCCAUGGACGAUGACAUUAGCUGCAGAAUAAGCACCGGCUAACUCUGUGCCAGCAGCCGCGGUAAUACAGAGGGGUGCAAGCGUUAAUCGGAAUUACUGGGGCGUAAAGCGAGCGUAGGUGGCUUGAUAAGUCAGAUGUGAAAGCCCCGGGCUUAACCUGGGAACGGCAUCUGAUACUGUUAGGCUAGAGUAGGUGAGAGGAAGGUAGAAUUCCAGGUGUAGCGGUGAAAUGCGUAGAGAUCUGGAGGAAUACCGAUGGCGAAGGCAGCCUUCUGGCAUCAUACUGACACUGAGGUUCGAAAGCGUGGGUAGCAAACAGGAUUAGAUACCCUGGUAGCGACUGA
RNAcentral lists this ribosomal RNA (476 nucleotides) under uncultured bacterium. RNAcentral's name for it is "bacterial SSU rRNA". It matches the Rfam family "Bacterial small subunit ribosomal RNA", at positions 335 to 798 of the family's 1533-position model. The record is from RNAcentral.